Molecule: small nuclear RNA, 166 nt
Organism: Rhipicephalus sanguineus (brown dog tick)
Lineage: Eukaryota; Metazoa; Arthropoda; Arachnida; Ixodida; Ixodidae
Product: U1 spliceosomal RNA
Exons: 1
Source: RefSeq, a predicted model, not a curated record
AUACUUACUUGGUGUCGGGCUCUCCGAUGAUCAACAAGAUCGGGGGCCCCGUGCCGAGGCCUCUCCAUUGCACUGCGGGUGGCUGAAGCACGCCCCUACCCCAAAAAGGGGUAGGAGGGGGCAUGCAAUUUUUGGUAGUGGGGCUUGGCGUACGCGCCAGCCCUGC